Molecule: ribosomal RNA, 508 nt
Filed under: Orbilia sp.
Lineage: Eukaryota; Fungi; Ascomycota; Orbiliomycetes; Orbiliales; Orbiliaceae
Description: LSU rRNA
Rfam family: Eukaryotic large subunit ribosomal RNA
Source: RNAcentral
GCCUCAGUAGCGGCGAGUGAAGCGGCAAGAGCUCAGAUUUGAAAUCCGGCGCGGUCCCCGCGCCCGAGUUGUAAUCUGGAGAGGAUGCCCCGGCAAGGAAGGCCGUCCAAGUUCCUUGGAACAGGACGUCUCAGAGGGUGAGAACCCCGUACCCGACGGCCGACCGCGCCGCGUGGGGCUCCUUCGACGAGUCGAGUUGUUUGGGAAUGCAGCUCAAACUGGGUGGUAAAUUCCAUCUAAAGCUAAAUACCGGCGGGAGACCGAUAGCGCACAAGUAGAGUGAUCGAAAGAUGAAAAGCACUUUGAAAAGAGAGUUAAAAAGUACGUGAAAUUGUUGAAAGGGAAGCGCUUGCCAUCAGAAUCGGGGCCGGUCGAUCAGCGUUCCUUCUGGUUCGUGCACUCGGCCGGUCUCCGUGCCAGCAUCGGCGGCCGCGGCGGGACAAAGGCGGCGGGAACGUGGCUCCCCCCGGGGAGUGUUACAGCCCGCCGCGCAAUGCCGCCAGCGGCC